Molecule: ribosomal RNA, 253 nt
Filed under: uncultured bacterium
Lineage: Bacteria
Description: partial 16S ribosomal RNA
Rfam family: Bacterial small subunit ribosomal RNA
Source: RNAcentral
GACAGAGGUGCCGAGCGUUAGGCGGAAUCACUGGGCUUAAAGCGUGUGUAGGCGGGUCCGUAAGUACUUUGUGAAAUCCCACGGCUCAACCGUGGAACUGCUUGGUAUACUGCGGGUCUUGAGCCACCUAGGGGCAAGCGGAACAAACGGUGGAGCGGUGAAAUGCGUAGAGAUGUGGAGGAACACCAGUGGCGAAGGCGACUCUUUGGCCUGUAACUGACGCUGAGGCGCGAAAGCGUGGGGAGCAAACAGG